AGUCCUCCUCCCGAUCUCCUCCCUCGCUGAAAAAUCCAGUCCUCCUCGAUCUCCCCCUCCUCCUUCUCCUCUGCGCCCGCCUCCGUCUGGGAUCAAACCCCCCUCCCCACGAGCUCCUCCUCGAUGCGCGACUCUCUCGAUCCCGAUCCAUUCAGAGGGGCUGCCCCUUCUCUCCUCCGCUCGCCGCUUGGCCGUAGAAAAGAAGUCCGGGCAGGGGACAUGGCGGCCGCCGGUGGCAUUUUCCCAUCGCGCCUCGAUUUGGCCGCCUCGGCGGAGGCGCUCGCGGCCUGGAGGGUCGGCGCAGCGCCUCACCUUGGCCUGGAGGCUGGCCGCCAUGGAGCUCCCCUCGGCCUAGAACUGGGGCUCGACGGGGCCUCCCUUCCCGGUUCAUGGCCGCAGCCGUCUCGGCUGUGCACGCCGGCGUCGUGACGUGGUGGCCAGGCGCUGGUUGCUGCCUCACCCGACCCCAGCGUGCCCGAGGUGCCGGCAGGCCUCUUCGGCAUCUCUGCUCCUGGUUCGCUCUGUUUCCUCGUGGAUGCCAAAGGGGGUCGUAUUUUGUUACUAAUUACUAAGCGUUUUGGUGCAGCCCAUCCGUGGAUCAUCCCUUGCCAAUUUAAUUAUUAUCUACAUUGGUUUUUGAGCAUUAGAUCAAUUAACUGAACUGGCGUUGCUCCUCUUGUUGUGUCCCUACUGCUCGCUACUCUCCUUCCCUGAUCUAAUCCCAUCUAGCCGCUGUAUUCUACCUUUCCUCUGCCUCGUUGCUGUACAAUCUGCUCACUGCCGCUGCUGUUCCUCCUCUCCUACACCUCUUGCUGCUGCUCUUCUCCCACGAAACUGUUGCUCCUCUCUUCUCUCAACGCUCUCUGCUACCUCUUUCUUCUUCCACCUGCUGCUGCUUCUCUUUAGAUCCACAAAACUGUUGCUCUUCUUCUCAAACAUCCUUUGCUGAAGCUCUUUUCCAAACUGCUGCUGCUCUCUUUCUUGCUCUUUCUCUCACUCUUUCUAUGUGCGUGUGUGUGUGUAGUUGCUGAUAGUUAUUAGUGGAUGCAAGAUCAACUACACUCAAAUCAGUAUUAGCUCUUUAUGUGUCUAUAUGUCAGCUUGUGUACUGUUCUGAACACCCAAUUUGUGUUCUUUAUGUAUUAGUUUCUGCAAUAUAUGUGAAAUUGUGAGUUGUUGGGAUGAUCAUUUUCGAUUAGACUUGUACUGUCAUACAUUGUGAGUCAUAUAUAUAUAUAAAUUCGUGAUUGUGGUUAAUUCUAGUAACUGUGGUAUUCCAUAUUUGUGAAUCUCCUGUACAAGUGAGUUCCAUUGUUAUAGAACUCAAUGCUGCUCUACAUCAUCUUUAAUGUCUGCUUGUGAACCAUGUACUAUAAUCUUUCUGCCCCUUAUCCUUAAUGCUUGCUUGUGUUAGUAUUUUACUUUCUCAAGCAAAAUGAAACUACUAAAAAGGCAGAGAGUAUAAUCUGAACCUUCCUUUGCUUCUUUUCAUUUUCCUUGUCGUCGAUUUGCCAGAACAAUCUUAGUUAGUUUAGAUUUAUAUCUCCUUGCUAUCAUCAUCUGUAUUCUGUCACCUAGCUUUAGCCGAGCAUAGUCGCCGUCGUCUAGUCCCUGUGGGGAACACGACACUCGCAGUUCGGGCGAAAUAUCCCGCUGUACUUACAAUCGAUCAAAUAAUCAACAUAGAUUUAUACUUUUUGCUAUCUCAUUUAGCUCGAGAUCGACUCGACAUCGUUAGAAGCUGAGCAUGAGUCAUGUUCUACACCUUGACCUUGAGCUUCAUUCAGUUUGAGCUGCCUCGAAUUUUAAUAUGAGUUAAACUGAUUUGAUUAUAUGCCUGCUUAAUGUAUUGCGUUUCUUCUUAAAUUGACUCAAAAUUUUAUGUCUGGUUUACCUACACAAGGGCACAAUGAUGAAUUUUACGGAGGAUGCUCCUGGUACACAACAUCCUUACUUCAUAAUCACCUAUCUGAAUGGUGCAGAACAUCAAUGCUUUGUUAAUGCUAAGUCCCAUGAUUGUUUUUGCGUGCAGUAAAGAAAGGCUCUGUUCUCUUAACACGGAUGGAAAGUAUAACGGCAUACAAAAACCAACAUGGACAACACUGACUUUUGGUUAUUCUAUAGUUAGUUAAUGAUGUGCAUUUGGCAUGUUUCAUCAUCAGAUGCAAUUAUUCAUGCGUUGGACCGUGUUAUUCUUAUUUCAUCUUUUAUAGUGUAAAUAUUGAUGCUGCACCUAUAAUUGCUCCUUUCAUUUUUAGGACAAAGCACUUCAAGAGGUUAAAAACAAAGAAACUGAAACUGAAGGUCCACUUUCAAGUGAGCAGAAAAACAAUAUUUUCCAGACCGCUUGCAAAGACACUCUGGAAUGCAAGUCAUCGCAGCCUCGUGGGUACGGAUACAUGGCCAAAACUUCAACUGGUUCUGAAAGGUUCCGUAUCCAGAUUGAAGAGCAAGCUCGUGCUACAGCAGCCACCCAGGAGCGAAACUCUCAGCUCGGCCAGCAGGUCAACGACUUAGAAGAUCAACUACAAGCUGAACGUGCUAACACACAAGAGAGGAUUAACUUGGAGCGUGCUGAGAGAGAACAACUUGAGGAGAGGUUAAAAGAAGAGCAUGCUGAAAGGGAAAGAUUGUUGCAAGAGGAGCGAACAUCAAGACUGGAAUUUGAAAAACACAUGAUGGCAAAGUUUGUAGAAUUGAGCAAACAGUUGGGAACCCAACAAGUGAUUACAGUCAUAUGCUUUCGACCUUGUAAGAUUUAUGUUGCUUACUUGCAUUGCUAAAAGUGCACUUCUGUUACAGGUGCCUACGAAGAGGGUUGACAAAGAAAAUAGUAAUCCAAACUUGCAAAAUAUUCUUUUACAGAGAUCUAGUCCUAAUAAGACUCCAGGUUCAAGGCCAACUGCUAUUUCUUCAAAUGCGCUCAUACAAGCUGCAGCAAGGCAAUCUCGAAUGUUUAAAGCAAUGGAUGUCAUGAGCAUGCGUGUGAUGCCUUCGCCGAUGAGUCCAUUGCAAUGUCCCAUGCAGUAUCUAUUGGCGCUAAUAUGGGGGUCGUGAGGGUUGUUUUUUAAGCGGACUCGCAACUCCUGAUGGAAGCACUUAAUAUCAAUAAGGAACCAAAGAACUAGCUGGACUGCACACUAGGAUCAUGGGCAGUUUAGUCUUCGAAGUUAAUUAGGAUGGCUAAAUUACGUUUGAGUUUUAUUUGAUGGAUAUUUUCUAUGAGAAUUUUGAAUUUUAUGAAUCUACAUAUUAUACGUAUGGUUUUGAAUAUUGUAAUCAAAAGCCUGUAUUUUUUUUACGGUUGCAAUAGACUAUUACCACAACCCACUUUUGGUUGCCAUAUGCUAGCACCACUAAAAAUAUAGUGUUGCGUCAUAUCUCAAUUGCUAUGCCUAUCUAUUUUGUUGCACUAGGAUGUUGCAACGGAGCACUUUAUAUUGUUGUAAUAGCUUGGCGCCACAAAAAAAUUCAUGAUGCGAUAACAGUUUGGCGCCACCAAAGUAAGUUUGUUGAAAUAGAGUAUUGCCAUGAAAGUUUAAAU
This is an RNA transcript of Triticum aestivum (bread wheat), 3544 nucleotides long. It is a transcript of the gene named myosin-11, with no coding region annotated. The transcript has 3 exons. Lineage: Eukaryota; Viridiplantae; Streptophyta; Magnoliopsida; Poales; Poaceae. The record is from RefSeq and is a predicted model, not a curated record.